UACAGAGGGGGCAAGCGUUGUUCGGAAUUACUGGGCGUAAAGGGCGCGUAGGCGGCCUUCUAAGUCGAACGUGAAAUCCCCGGGCUCAACCCGGGAACUGCGUCUGAUACUGGAUGGCUUGAGUUUGGGAGAGGGAUGCGGAAUUCCAGGUGUAGCGGUGAAAUGCGUAGAUAUCUGGAGGAACACCGGUGGCGAAGGCGGCAUCCUGGACCAACACUGACGCUGAGUGAGCGAAAGCCAGGGGAGCAAACGGG
RNAcentral lists this ribosomal RNA (254 nucleotides) under uncultured bacterium. Its description in RNAcentral is "partial 16S ribosomal RNA". It matches the Rfam family "Bacterial small subunit ribosomal RNA", at positions 524 to 776 of the family's 1533-position model. The record is from RNAcentral.